AGAUGAAAACGUUCUAGAGAUCUGUUGCACAACACUGAUAAAUUGAUUGUACCUCAAGGCAUCAAGAGCCAUAUUGGAGAAUGAUGUUCCUCAAAUCAGGGCUUUCGUAGCCUCCAGCAACAGCCGUCCGAUUCCAGUCUUUGAAACUGUCCAACACCUGGUAUAUUGCACCCUGCGGUUCAUUCUCCUCUCCUACUUCGUUCCAG
This is a long non-coding RNA of Herpailurus yagouaroundi (jaguarundi), 206 nucleotides long. RefSeq lists it as uncharacterized. Lineage: Eukaryota; Metazoa; Chordata; Mammalia; Carnivora; Felidae. The record is from RefSeq and is a predicted model, not a curated record. The transcript has 3 exons.